Onychostoma macrolepis is the source of this 3798-nucleotide long non-coding RNA. RefSeq lists it as uncharacterized. The transcript is spliced from 3 exons. NCBI's taxonomy places the organism in Eukaryota, Metazoa, Chordata, Actinopteri, Cypriniformes, Cyprinidae. The record is from RefSeq and is a predicted model, not a curated record.
UGUUUUUCACCACUCUCAGCAUAAAAUGGAUGAGGAAUGUGAAACACAUCAGAUGCAUUAGCCGUUGUUCUGUGUUCCCGAUACAGAUCAAAUCAAUAACAAGUCUGAAGUCAGAGAGUCAGUCUCGGGCCCUUUCAAGUGUCUGUUUUUCUUCUGCUGGGGUUUGAGAGGCUCUUGUUUUAUGUCAUGUCUUGUGCCGAAGUCUGUGGGACUCCAAAGGGCCUCUCACCUGUGUGAGGAGAAGCUGUGAACCCAUCAAACCGACAGGGAGCUUUGUGAAGACAGGCAUGAAGCAGACUGCACCCACAGCACACGUCACGGCCCGUUAGGAGAAGCCGAACGCACUAAAGAGGUUAAACUGCCGCGCCUGGCAGAGGCAAUUUUAUUGAUAACCAUUUGAAGCCUUUUUUUCCUGCCCGUCUCCGAGCCUUACGUGCCAUCACGCUUUUCCGUCUUUAUUCCGUUUGCCACUCUCAACUGACUUCAAAUGUGGGAAGCCUCUCCCUCCGACAGAAAAGAAGCUGCCGUUGCCUCUUUCCCGCUGUCUCAGCCGUGAAGAGCUGCAGUCUGAUCUGGCAGACAAUCGUCGGCAAAUUCCCACAUCUCUCUGAUCUGCUCGGGCGCUCCAUCAUUUCCUCGUUAGCCCCUGGUCCCUGCCCUGGCCUGAAGUCAUCGCUCAGUUAGGCAGCUGGCAGGCCAGCCCUGAGGGUCCCCAGUGUGUUUUCCAGCAUUUCCCCUCGUCUCUCCAGCCAACUAAGUUUAUGCAGAGGACAAUUGUGAGUAGGGUAACACAGCGACAGUGUCCCAACCACCUUCCCCUGGGGGUCACGGGUGUCGUGACCCUGCAGCAGGUGCCACUGAUCUCGUUGCCCAUCGCUGUCCCAGUUUCCCAGAUUUCUGUCCACACCUGCGCUAGGGUGAAGAUUUUCCAUUUAGUGUGAUCAGAAUGAUUAUUAUUCUUAGGAAACUGAUUAUUUUGAUUAAGUGAUUUAGGUUUUUUUUUUUAAUCCUAAAUAAUACUAAAUGUAAAUGAAUGAAAAUAAAAUUUAUUUCGGAGCUUUAUGUAGGUAUGUUUUAAUUGUAACACCGAGUUAAUAUUAUUCCAGCCAUAAAUCAAUACCUUUUCCACAUUUCUGUAUCUUAAUAUUUAAUAUUAAUUUGAAUCUAAUUUAAUGCUUUAGAUCUUUAACUAUCCAUGCUAUUUCUCUGCUCAAAUAAUGUACAUAUUUUAUGUAUUAUCUCUGUUUUGGUAAAUGGUUAUUUUACCCUAACAAUGUAUAUUUUAUUAUUAUUAAAUUGUAUUAUAUUACUUUUUUACAUUUAAAUACAUUUAAAUGAAGUGUGAAGCAGGUUUGUUUCAAAGAAAUAGAGAGAAAGGACAUAAUGAACGUGCAGAUGUUUCUGUUCCUUGCACUGAAUUUCAUUUGAAGCAACGUGACAAAAAAUGGCAAUCGUCAGAAAAACAUGGGAAAAAGACAGUCGUCCAAAUCACGAUGCAAAUUGCACUUUGAUUGACUCUUAAUUUCAUCUGAAGGCUGUUUUGUUUGGUUUUUAUUCUGAGUCAAUGAGCUUAAUCAGAGUCACUGAUCCUGCGGCUCUAAGCUCUCCGUGUUGUGUUUUUGUUUGUCGGGAGAUCAGCGAGACUCUAUCCGCACUUCAUUAACCCUGAGCCGGGGACAAUCCUCGGUAAGAGCCGAGGGAUUUACCACUAUCCUUUCACAUGCAAAAAUCUCUGCGUCUAUUAACAAGACCGAGGAGCUUUUCUUGCAAUCAGCUGCGCACUUCGCAAGAAUAACCCUUUUCAUAAAGAUUGAGGGGGGUCAUCAGCCUCCUUUGGAUCAUGUGUAGAUCCAUGUGAUAAUUUAAAUGUUUGAUCUGAAUUGAUAUGUCUUUUUUUUCUUUUCUUUUCUUUUCACUUGUGCAUGUGUUUUAAAGAAAAGCGAACAUUUCUUAAAUUGCUUUUAAUGCCUUGGUGAACAUUUUUUAUUGCGUGUAUUUCAAUUGUUAUUUUAUUAGCAUUAUUGCCAUAGUUUUCCAUUUUUAUGCUUUAGAUAUAUUGUGUGCAAAACAAGCAUGCAAAUUAAUUAUUUUGAAAUUGUACUUAAAAAAUAAUAAAGAAUAUAUAUAUAUAUAUCUUCUUCUUUUUUUGCGCAUUUCCCCGCCUCAAUAACAUGCCAUUAAUUUUUGAAACGUUCUUAAAAUGCUUUCUCUCUCUCUUCUUAGUGAUUCAUGGACAGGAGCCCAGCGAUGAGACGCAGGAUGACAUGUGCUAUAUGCGAAAGUUUGCAGCAGGAGCCCGACUGAUCACAUGUUAUCGACGUUCAAUUAAAAGCUAUUAAGGUCUUUUGUCUGCUCGUUAAUAUCCCAUUCAGCCGCCCUGUCAGAGCGGUCCCUAAACCCUGAGCUUUACGGACCGGUCUCAUGGUUGGGUUAAAGUCAGUCUUAGACUCACGGAGGGGGGAUGAAGGGGGGUCCCGUCAUGCCGCUGACCAGAUGUCCCCUUGCUGAUCCGAGCCGCAGUCAGCGCUGCCCGGUGACCAGCUGUUGGGGCCGUUUGGCAAAGAGCAGCAAACCAACACUCUCAAGAAAGGGUAUGGAAACAAUCCAUUUCCAAAUGGGAUCAUUUAGGGCACUUAAACAAUUACACACUUAGGUGACCAUUAAUAUUUCAUCCACAUAUUGUUUAUGAAAACUAAAUGAAAAGACUCCGCUUGCUUAGUGAUGCAUGAGGCUGUUUUAAGAGUGCAAAAAAGCCUGUCACUUUACUCUUGUAGACAAGACAAGUGUUGAGUGUGUGUGUGUGUGUGUGUGUGUGCGUGCGCGCGCGUGUGAGAGAACGAGAUCAGUACCCACAACCAACGUCCAAUCUCUCAGUAUUUCCCUUUUAUCGUGCUGCCAAUAAAAUGAACAUCGUUUUAAAUUGUAUUGAGACCGGCUCAUAUGAUUCAUGAUCAAAAUGAUAUUUAAAAUGUGACCUAUUAAUAAGAGGUAGUCGCGUUAAACUUUAAGAUAUGAAGGUAGAAUUAAGUUCCCAAAUCUCCAGGCGUUUCUGAAAGGUUAGGGAGGUGAAUGUUCACUUCCUUGGGUGCGACAUUCUUAUUAACUUUUUUUUUUUCGUAGGUUCGACAAAUUAAAUCCACGAUGCUAACCAAAUAGUGUGGGGUUUGAGCAAAGUGUCUGACAGUCAUGUUUAAAAUUAUUCAAACACAUUUGCCAGUUAUAGAGUUCUGUGAGCUCGAAUUUUAUGAUAUUGCUAUCACAGCGUUUGUUUACGUUUAUUUUCAUAAGCAAACUUUUACUUUUCAUGAAAUUUCUAGAUACCUUUUCAAAGCAGUGACUUGACGUAACCGGUGUAACUAAUAUGCGUAUUUUAUUGGUUUUUCUAUGUUGAAACUUUGUCCUUCGUAACUUUUAAAAACGAAACCUUUUAGGACAAUUUAGCCUGCGUUUAUGGAUAAUAAACCAUGAAUUAUUUUAACGACUCGUUUUUUCCCCCCACACCGUGUUGACCUAUUUAUUUGACAAAAUAAAUAAAAUAUGACAUUUAUCUUUUCAAUUAUACAAAUAAUAAAAUUAUAAUUUAGUGUUGGCCCACUUAUCGCGUUACCAGAAAUUCACAAUGUGUAUUAUUUUCGUGCAAUUACUCCUGAAUUAGAAUUAUCAUUCAGGUAGUUACAUACAAAACAAAAAUGUUUAUAGUAGGCUAUCCAUGUCAAAUUGACUCUGGUUCUGGUUCUUGUUGCAAAGCACAGGAUUGUCAAGUUUCUUAAUUCAUACAUUUGCGUGUCAAUGUUCAGG